This 73-nucleotide transfer RNA is filed under the name Ixodes scapularis (black-legged tick). Its description in RNAcentral is "tRNA-Glu". It matches the Rfam family "tRNA". Rfam says of the family: Transfer RNA (tRNA) molecules are approximately 80 nucleotides in length. Their secondary structure includes four short double-helical elements and three loops (D, anti-codon, and T loops). Lineage: Eukaryota; Metazoa; Arthropoda; Arachnida; Ixodida; Ixodidae. The record is from RNAcentral.
UCCGGCGUGAUCUAGUGGCUAGGAUACCUGGCUUUCACUCCAGGAGGCCCGGGUUCGAUUCCCGGCGUCGGAA